This 463-nucleotide ribosomal RNA is filed under the name uncultured bacterium. Its description in RNAcentral is "partial 16S ribosomal RNA". It matches the Rfam family "Bacterial small subunit ribosomal RNA", at positions 29 to 507 of the family's 1533-position model. The record is from RNAcentral.
AGUGAACGCUGGCGGCGUGCUUAAUACAUGCAAGUCGAACGAUGAAGUCCUAGCUUGCUAGGGGGGGUUAGUGUCGCACGGGUGUGUAAUAUAUAUUUAAUCUGCCUUGCACUGAGGAACAACAGUUGGAAACGAUUGCUAAUACCUCAUACUCCAACUUUACAUACGUUAAGUUGGGCAAAUCUUUUCGGUGCAAGAUGAGACUAUAGCGUAUCAGCUAGUUGGUAAGGUAAUGGCUUUCCAAGGCUAUGCCUCGGAACUGGGUUGGGAGGAUGGUCAGGCCAAUGUGAAACUGGGACACGGUCCAAACUCUAACGGAGGGCGGAGGAAGGGAAAAUGGGAAAAGGGGGAAACCCUGAAGCAGCAACGGCGCGUGGAGGAUGACACUUUUCGGAGAGGAAACGCCUUUUGUUAGGGAAGAAUAAUGACGGUACCUAACGAAUAAGCACCGGCUAACUACGUG